CACAAACAGUGCAAAGAAAUGAAAAGAAAGGAAAAAAUAAGAGGUGAAUCUUAAAUUCACAGAACAUCCACAAAAUGCAGCAAAAUAUAUUCUGAUGGGUCUCCAUAGUAAUAUCCCUGUUCUGUGCUUUCCUAUUAAAUAUUUUUCUUAAUAUUAUUUAAGUUUUAUGAAUAUCAUUUUUCUCCUUUUUUUUUUUUUUUCAAAUUGCUCAAACAGAAUAGGACAGUGGUUAUUUUAAUUUCACAGUACUGCAAUCACCCCUAAGAGUAAUCAUAAAGGGAGCCAGUAAAGACUUCAUGAGCUAGCCUCACCCCAGUAUAUAACUGUGAUUUCAGAUUUUGUCAAAGCACAGAAGGCAGUGACAGCUACUAAGUUGGGUAAGUUGACCUAAUAAAGGUAAGUUAACUCAAGCACAAGUGAACAUUACCUCAAAAACCACUCCAUACACCUAGAACAGUUUGAUAUCACAAGGGCUCAUAGUGUGGUAACAGCACAGCAACAUGGUUUAAAAGCAUUCCAGAAAUGUUCCUUAAAAAAACAACACAACACAGGAUGCCAAAACCAGCAUGCUCAACAUCUGUAAACAAGGAUCUUUGCUGUUGUUGCCAUCACCAAGAGGAAACCAUGAGAACCCCUGCUGAGAAAAAGAGAUUAUUUUUAUCUUUCUUUCUUUUUUUUGUUGUUCUUUCAUCCACCCUUCUGUUAUGCAUACCUGAAACUGAGAUGGUUGGUUCGUAUUUGGGUAUCAACUUCAGACAUCAGAUUGUUAAUACAGGUGGAUCAAAAUGAGCUGUAAUGGAAUUUGCCGAUGGUUCCAGCAUGGGUCUGUUCUGUUGGAUUCUAGUAUGUGACAUACAGUACCAUCUCUGAAAUUUUCCUCAGGGUCUUCUCAUGAUCUUCUUUGACCAGAACAUUUCCACGGAGUCUGCAGGCCACUUUCAUGCCUCUCCCCCAUCUGGAAACCAUAACAGUGGUUCACCUUAAGACGCUGUCUUCGACAAGUCUCUCUUAGAUUUUGUCAAAGCACAGAAGGCAGUGACAGCUACUAAGUUGGGUAAGUUGACCUAAUAAAGGUAAGUUAACUCAAGCACAAGUGAACAUUACCUCAAAAACCACUCCAUACACCUAGAACAGUUUGAUAUCACAAGGGCUCAUAGUGUGGUAACAGCACAGCAACAUGGUUUAAAAGCAUUCCAGAAAUGUUCCUUAAAAAAACAACACAACACAGGAUGCCAAAACCAGCAUGCUCAACAUCUGUAAACAAGGAUCUUUGCUGUUGUUGCCAUCACCAAGAGGAAACCAUGAGAACCCCUGCUGAGAAAAAGAGAUUAUUUUUAUCUUUCUUUCUUUUUUUUGUUGUUCUUUCAUCCACCCUUCUGUUAUGCAUACCUGAAACUGAGAUGGUUGGUUCGUAUUUGGGUAUCAACUUCAGACAUCAGAUUGUUAAUACAGGUGGAUCAAAAUGAGCUGUAAUGGAAUUUGCCGAUGGUUCCAGCAUGGGUCUGUUCUGUUGGAUUCUAGUAUGUGACAUACAGUACCAUCUCUGAAAUUUUCCUCAGGGUCUUCUCAUGAUCUUCUUUGACCAGAACAUUUCCACGGAGUCUGCAGGCCACUUUCAUGCCUCUCCCCCAUCUGGAAACCAUAACAGUGGUUCACCUUAAGACGCUGUCUUCGACAAGUCUCUCUUAGGUUCUCACACAGCUCAGUCUUGGCCUCUCCAUUAGGUCGCAGGCUGACCUUGGGGUUGAACUUGUUGGACAUGGUGGCGGCGGUGAC
Molecule: non-coding RNA, 1776 nt
Organism: Electrophorus electricus (electric eel)
Lineage: Eukaryota; Metazoa; Chordata; Actinopteri; Gymnotiformes; Gymnotidae
Source: RefSeq, a predicted model, not a curated record